Molecule: long non-coding RNA, 609 nt
Filed under: Bos taurus (domestic cattle)
Lineage: Eukaryota; Metazoa; Chordata; Mammalia; Artiodactyla; Bovidae
Description: long non-coding RNA NONBTAT024591
Source: RNAcentral
CUGUGACUAUGUGUUCAUUUAUUAGGGAAUAAGUCACAUUUUAAACUAAAUCUCUCCAUUUCCCUUUCUAAAUUUUGAGCUUAUCUAGGCAAAACAUUCCUUGAGUUACCUUCUAACCUACCUACUAUUUGGAAUAUUAGUGGAAGAAUGCUUAUGCUAAGGGAAAAUGCAAGCUAUACGAUCUGAACUAACUCUGUCAUUUCAGGAAAAAUUCUAGGAUCUUGAGAUCUAUUUCCAAUAGAGCACCCCAAAUAGGCUAGUUCAUUUUAAGUAGGGCAUAUUUGAACAUUAGGAGAGCAAAAAAUCAUAUUAAUUAUGAGAAUUUAUCCAGUAACUACUUUUGUGGCAGUGGUCAUUAGAUACUCACAUGACGUCACUGUUUGUAUUGAAAAGCCAGUUAUAAUAAAAAUGCACUGCCCUCUCCAUAUCCCACCUGCCAUGUGCCUGCUAGGUACUAACUUUGACCACAAAAAGAUCACUUGGAAUUAGAUGCAUUUUGCCUUGCUAUUACCUUUUGUGUGUAUACCUACUUUUCUGUGUUCUUUUUAAUGAAUGGGAAAAGAUAUCCUCUAUAUUGUUUUUUCUCAAACAUUUUUUCUUAUAUUGUCU